UAUUUAUUUGAAAAGAUAUCCUGUCCAUUCGAAGGUUUGUAAUUAUUUUAAAUCCUGUAGGAAAGAUUUUAUGCGGGGGAAAUAUUAUAGCAUUAAAUUUAUUUUUUGCAUUUUCACAGUGAAACGAAAGUUUUUCCUUUGUCUGGUAAGUGGAAGGUGAAAGGCAUAUAUUUCCCAGAAGUCAAUACGCCUUCACGUUCCUUCUUGCAAGAUAAACAGUGAAUCAUGAUUGAGUAGAAGCUUUCAAAAACCUCGAUAUUUUACAAAUAUUUGAGCAAACAAACUACUUUUGGGAAAGAUUUAACUAAUCUGAAAGUCAUGGCUGUUGUAUUAUUGGAUAACCUGCCGCUUCCGUCCCUAAAAUCAUACACAAUCGGCAGUUUAUUGCUCUUUGUGCUAGCUACAAUUUAUGGCUACAACUUCAACAGUGAAAUUUCGGACAAUAACGAACAGAAUUUAUGGCAGAUAAUAACUUCUUGCAUGGCAAAAGACCCGUUUUGCACUUGGGUAAGUUGUGAUGUGCUUGAUCUUUUUUAUAUUUGAUUUUUAGGAUUUAUAAUUUGAUUUGUAGGAGUCUAAUGCUCAAAUUUCAUAGUCUUCUGUGUGCUAAGAUUUUGUUAUGACUUCGCAAAUUUAGACUACAGUGAAUAUGGUCUAUUGUGGCUUUUUCCUGAUCGGCAAGAUAAUUCAAAGAUUUGUCUUUGGUGAUUUAAGACCCAUUGAACUGCAG
Non-coding RNA from Paramuricea clavata, 730 nucleotides. The record is from the annotation of a GenBank genome assembly. NCBI's taxonomy places the organism in Eukaryota, Metazoa, Cnidaria, Anthozoa, Malacalcyonacea, Plexauridae.